ACGGGAUCACAUGGUUCUGGGGUAAAAGAUUUAUCGGUUUGGGGUGGGCUCGCGUCCGAUUAGGUAGUUGGUGAGGUAGCGGCCCACCAAGCCGACGAUCGGUAGCCGACCUGAGAGGGUGAUCGGCCACGUUGGGACUGAGACACGGCCCAAACUCCUACGGGAGGCAGCAGUGGGAAUAUUGGGCAAUGGAGGAAACUCUGACCCAGCAACGCCGCGUGGAGGAAGAAGGUUUUCGGAUCGUAAACUCCUGUCCUUGGAGACGAGUAGAAGACGGUAUCCAAGGAGGAAGCCCCGGCUAACUACGUGCCAGCAGCCGCGGUAAUACGUGGGGGGCAAGCGUUGUCCGGAAUAAUUGGGCGUAAAGGGCGCGUAGGCGGCUCGGUAAGUCUGGAGUGAAAGUCCUGCUUUUAAGGUGGGAAUUGCUUUGGAUACUGUCGGGCUUGAGUGCAGGAGAGGUUAGUGGAAUUCCCAGUGUAGCGGUGAAAUGCGUAGAGAUUGGGAGGAACACCAGUGGCGAAGGCGACUAACUGGACUGUAACUGACGCUGAGGCGCGAAAGUGUGGGGAGCAAACAGGAUUAGAUACCCUGGUAGUCCACACUGUAAACGAUGAAUGCUAGGUGUAGGGGGUAUCGACCCCUUCUGUGGCGCAGUCAACACAAUAAGCAUUCCGCCUGGGGAGUACGGCCGCAAGGUUGAAACUCAAAGGAAUUGACGGGGGCCCGCACAAGCAGCGGAGCAUGUGGUUUAAUUCGACGCAACGCGAAGAACCUUACCAGGUCUUGACAUCCACUUAAACUUACAGAGAUGUAAGGUGUGCUUGCACAAAGUGAGACAGGUGGUGCAUGGUUGUCGUCAGCUCGUGUCGUGAGAUGUUGGGUUAAGUCCCGCAACGAGCGCAACCCUUAUCUUCAGUUACUAACGCGUGAGGGUGAGGACUCUGAAGAGACUGCCGGGGACAACUCGGAGGAAGGUGGGACGACGUCAAAUCAUCAUGCCCCUUAUGACCUGGGCUACACACGUGCUACAAUGGCCACGACAGAGAGAAGCGAAAUCGCAAGGUAGAGCGGAACUCAAAAAAGUGGUCCCAGUUCGGAUUGUGGGCUGCAACCCGCCCACAUGAAGUCGGAGUUGCUAGUAAUCGCGGAUCAGCAUGCCGCGGUGAAUACGUUCCCGGGCCUUGUACACACCGCCCGUCACACCAUGGGAGUUGGGAGUGCCCAAAGCCGGUGAGGCAACCGCAAGGAGCCAGCCGUCUAAGGCAAGACCAAUGACUGGGGUGAAGUCGGAACAAGGUA
RNAcentral lists this ribosomal RNA (1299 nucleotides) under metagenome. RNAcentral's name for it is "bacterial SSU rRNA". It matches the Rfam family "Bacterial small subunit ribosomal RNA", at positions 180 to 1498 of the family's 1533-position model. The record is from RNAcentral.